GUAGAGGAGCAAUCCUCGAGAGUGGCGAACGGGUGAGUAAUGCAUCGGAACGUGCCCAGUAGUGGGGGAUAGCCCGGCGAAAGCCGGAUUAAUACCGCAUGAGACCUGAGGGUGAAAGCGGGGGACUCGCAAGAGCCUCGCGCUACUGGAGCGGCCGAUAUCAGAUUAGGUAGUUGGUGGGGUAAAAGCCUACCAAGCCUGCGAUCUGUAGCUGGUCUGAGAGGACGACCAGCCACGCUGGGACUGAGACACGGCCCAGACUCCUACGGGAGGCAGCAGUGGGGAAUUUUGGACAAUGGGCGAAAGCCUGAUCCAGCCAUGCCGCGUGCGGGAAGAAGGCCUUCGGGUUGUAAACCGCUUUUGUCAGGGAAGAAAUCCUUUGAGUUAAUACCUCGGAGGGAUGACGGUACCUGAAGAAUAAGCACCGGCUAACUUCGUGCCAGCAGCCGCGGUAAUACGAAGGGUGCAAGCGUUACUCGGAAUUACUGGGCGUAAAGCGUGCGUAGGUGGUUUGUUAAGUCUGAUGUGAAAGCCCUGGGCUCAACCUGGGAAUGGCAUUGGAUACUGGCAGGCUAGAGUGCGGUAGAGGGUAGUGGAAUUCCCGGUGUAGCAGUGAAAUGCGUAGAGAUCGGGAGGAACAUCUGUGGCGAAGGCGACUACCUGGACCAGCACUGACACUGAGGCACGAAGCGUGGGGAGCAACAGGAUAGAUACCUGGUAGUCACGCCCUAACGAUGCGACUGGAUGUGGCUCAC
This 755-nucleotide ribosomal RNA is filed under the name uncultured bacterium. RNAcentral describes it as "bacterial SSU rRNA". It matches the Rfam family "Bacterial small subunit ribosomal RNA", at positions 68 to 830 of the family's 1533-position model. The record is from RNAcentral.